UUGAUGAAAGACAGAACAACCAGGAAGAACCAUUGUUGAGGUAGCCACCCCGAUCCUCUCUCUUCAACUACUUCCACUUCUUGUAGCUUUACAUCAUCUUCGUCUUCAUGCUCCCACAAUUUGUUUUCUCCAGCACGUUAGCUGAGCUUCUAACAUGGCAACUCAAGGCUUCCCGGAGGACAAAGAUAGAGGCUUCCGCGUGCUGACAAAAUGGAACCAUUAAGACUUUUCCAUCAUAUUUCAUAUUCAUCCAACAAAUAGUUACAGAGAACUUGAACAGUGUUAGGAGACAUAGCAGAGCCAACAGUUCACUGUUUUCAUUGGGCUUUUGUUCUGAUAUUAGAGAGGAAACAGACAAUACAAAAAAGAGAAUAUAUAUUGUGUGUGAUAUGUAAUACUAAGAAAAUAACAGCAGAAAAGGAGUUACAGUGCGUGUUUGUGGGAGGCAGGAAGUAGAAGCAGGAGGGUGUGGCUUGCUGAGAAUAUGUUCUUACAUGCCUGAAGCAAGGAGGGGAGCAGAGCAUGCACAUCUCCAGGGGGAGACCAUUCCUAGCAGAGGGAACAAUUGAAAAUACCUUAUGGUGAGAACAUGUCAACUUUGCCUGUAGAAUCUUAAGAUAGCUCUUAAGGCUGAAUGGGGAUGAAGAAUAAAACAAAACAAAAAGAGAAGAUGUUAAGUUGGGAGAG
Suricata suricatta (meerkat) is the source of this 687-nucleotide long non-coding RNA. RefSeq lists it as uncharacterized. The record is from RefSeq and is a predicted model, not a curated record. The transcript is spliced from 3 exons. NCBI's taxonomy places the organism in Eukaryota, Metazoa, Chordata, Mammalia, Carnivora, Herpestidae.